This 69-nucleotide transfer RNA is filed under the name Crotophaga sulcirostris (groove-billed ani). RNAcentral describes it as "tRNA-Ala". It matches the Rfam family "tRNA". Rfam says of the family: Transfer RNA (tRNA) molecules are approximately 80 nucleotides in length. Their secondary structure includes four short double-helical elements and three loops (D, anti-codon, and T loops). Further hydrogen bonds mediate the characteristic L-shaped molecular structure. tRNAs have two regions of fundamental functional importance: the anti-codon, which is responsible for specific mRNA codon recognition, and the 3' end, to which the tRNAs corresponding amino acid is attached (by aminoacyl-tRNA synthetases). tRNAs cope with the degeneracy of the genetic code in two manners: having more than one tRNA (with a specific anti-codon) for a particular amino acid; and 'wobble' base-pairing, i.e. permitting non-standard base-pairing at the 3rd anti-codon position. Lineage: Eukaryota; Metazoa; Chordata; Aves; Cuculiformes; Crotophagidae. RNAcentral also lists the same sequence under 2 other names. The record is from RNAcentral.
AAGGCCCUAGCUUAAUUAAAGCGUCUGAGUUGCAUUUAGGAGAUGUAGGUUAAUAUCCUACGGGUCUUA